This 693-nucleotide ribosomal RNA is filed under the name uncultured cyanobacterium. RNAcentral describes it as "bacterial SSU rRNA". It matches the Rfam family "Bacterial small subunit ribosomal RNA", at positions 72 to 804 of the family's 1533-position model. The record is from RNAcentral. Lineage: Bacteria; Bacillati; Cyanobacteriota.
ACCUUUCGGGGUUGAGUGGCGGACGGGUGAGUAACGCGUGAGAAUCUGCCUUUAGGUCCGGGACAACCACUGGAAACGGUGGCUAAUACCGGAUGUGCCGCAACGUGAAAGGGGAAACCCGCCUGAAGAUGAGCUCGCGUCUGAUUAGCUAGUUGGUGAGGUAAAGGCUCACCAAGGCGACGAUCAGUAGCUGGUCUGAGAGGAUGACCAGCCACACUGGGACUGAGACACGGCCCAGACUCCUACGGGAGGCAGCAGUGGGGAAUUUUCCGCAAUGGGCGAAAGCCUGACGGAGCAAGACCGCGUGAGGGAAGAAGGCUCUUGGGUCGUAAACCUCUUUUGUCAGGGAAGAACACAAUGACGGUACCUGACGAAUCAGCCUCGGCUAACUCCGUGCCAGCAGCCGCGGUAAUACGGAGGAGGCAAGCGUUAUCCGGAAUUAUUGGGCGUAAAGCGUCCGUAGGUGGCUAGUCAAGUCUGCGGUCAAAGACUGGGGCUUAACCCUGGAAAGGCCGUGGAAACUGACGAGCUAGAGUGCAGUAGGGGUAGAGGGAAUUCCCGGUGUAGCGGUGAAAUGCGUAGAGCUCGGGAAGAACAUCGGUGGCGAAAGCGCUCUACUGGACUGCAACUGACACUCAGGGACGAAAGCUAGGGGAGCGAAUGGGAUUAGAUACCCCAGUAGUCCUAGCCGUA